CGUUCUCAGUGGGCGGGGGAGCUGCAGAGACACAGUCAGGGCGGGCGCUUGGACAGGGCUACGUGACCCAGGUUCUCCUGAUUCUGCCAGGCGGCCCUAAAGGAUCAUGGGAUACAGGUGACACCUAGGCAGAUUAUCCAGGUAUAUGGUCUAGAGAGCGGGAGCUGCUGCUUCUGUUCCCCCUGCUUCUUGACACCACCCCGGGAACAGUCCCGGACAUGGAGAGGCAGCAAAUUCAUAACCGAGACAGGGAAUUACUGUUUUCACCCACCGUGCAAUUAGGCUGUGGAACUCACUGCCACAGGAAACCAAGAACUGAGCAAGAUUCAAAAAGGGAUCUGGUGUUUAUCUAGAUAAGAAGAAUAUACAGAUUUAUCAUAAUUAAUGAUAAAAUAAUGUAGUGGAUAGGAUCUUAAACUUCAUGCUUUGCAGCUUCGACCAAUUAUUAGAGAGUAGGAUGAGCAUUCUGUGGUGGGCAGAUUACCCUACCUUUGCCUGCUCUAGCAUUUUUACACCUUCCUUCUUCUGGUCACUGUCAGAGACAUGAUACUUGCCUACAUGGACCUCAGAUUUGAUCCAGUAUGUUGAUUCGUAAGUUCAACAGUGAGGGACCACAACACAUGGCACCAUGACAGCAUGGUACCUAAGCCUGAUAAUACAGGGUAUUGCUGUGACGGCACUGGCCAUGGCCAUGACAUUGAGACAUAGCAUCAGUGCAGGAUGUCAUGGCACUGUGACAGCACAAGGCAUCACCUUGACUGUGUGGGGAAUUGCUGUGACACAGGGCCUUGCAGCACUCCCACAAGAGCAUCAGGUUGAUGGAUGCUGGCCUCACAAUGCUCUGUGUGGAAGGAGUCUUUAUUUCUUACCGGUCUGUACUGCGCUGUCCACACAUCAUAUUAUAUACAAAUAGUUAGAAUGCUGUAUAAGAGCUAUUAUUAUAAUUAUUUAUUAACGUGCUGUGAAGUUUAGUUUUUGUCAACAUGUUGCACCCUGGCGUGAUGCCUUUUAGAGUAGCAAUAUGUAGCAUGAUGUCAUUCAGUUGCAUUGUCACAGUGUGAUGGCUGUUGGAUGCAUUGUUAUAGUGGAAUGACAUUUAGCUGCAUUGUCAGCACAUUAUCUCCUGACAUGAUGACUAGACAGAUUUUCAUGGUAUGAUGUCAUUGCAUUGCCUUGCAGCAUGACGGCAUUCGGACAUAUCAAAGUUAUCUGAAAACUUUUAGACACAUCCGCACUGCAUUGUAUCUUGGCAUCCUUAUAUUUAGGCCUUGUCUAUACUACGGAGUUUUCUUGACAAAGCAGUGGAGGGGUACACAUUACAAUGCGACUUUUGCUGACAAAACACUCCUGUUUUGUUGACAAAAUAAAACCACCUCGAUGAGAUGCGUAGAGCUUUUUGCUCAAAGUUUUAUUGACAAAGUGUCAGUGUAGACACUGCGCUUGGUUUUGUCACUUUAAAUGGCCUCCAGGAGGUGUCCCAUAAUGCCCAUCCUGACCGCUCUGGUCAGCAGUUCCAACUCCGCUGCCCUGCAGCCAGGUAAACAAGCAUGUACCCCUCCCCUUUAAAGGCCUGGGAAUUUUUGAAAUUCCACUUCCUGUUUGCUCAGCAUGGAGAGCUCACAUUGCAUCUUGAUCCUGGUGGCUCCACAGGGCAAAUGCUCUCCCCCUUGGACCACUGUGGAGCUGUUGGAUCUGCUGAGUAUAUGGGAAGAGGAGGCUGUCCAGUCCCAGCUGCGCUCCAGCCACAGAACUUUGAUUCCUAUGGACAGAUUUCCCUGUGAAAAGGGCUAGGAACAGGACACGGUGCAGUGCUGAGCGAAAAUAAAGGAGCUGAGGCAGGCAUACCAGAAGGCAAGGGAGGCAAACCGUCACUCUAGUGCUGCACCGAAGACCUGUUGCUUCUACAAGGAGCUGGAUGCUAUCCUUGGCAGCGAUUCCACCUCUACCGCCAAGAGAUCCAGGGAUACUUCUGCGGGGCUGGAGGUGGCAGAAAGUUGACCUAACCCUGAGGACGAAGUCAUGGACGAGGAGGUGGAAUUGGAUGUGGACGAAGUCGUGGAUGAGGAGGCAGAUGUUGUGGAGCCCACGGCAGGGUCUCCAGGUGGGGUGGCAAGUCAGGAACACUUCUCUACUCUAGAGGUGUCUAGCUAGUCCCAGCAGUACAUCUCCGGUGAGCAAGAAGCAGGAGAGGAGACCUCUGACACUGGUGGAGCACCUCCGCCAGAUAAGAGAGUGACCAAGGUGGACAUGUUCCAGGAGGUCCUGCAAUCCUCUGGUGCAGAAAAAAGAGAGCGCAGGGAGUGAAGAGAAAUGGAAAGGGAAGACAGAAAAGAAAAUCAGGAGAUCAUUCAAAAGGCCCAUGAGCAGAUGAUAAGAGUAAUGGAGGAGCAAACAGAGAUGCUGAAAUCCCUAAUCACGCAACAUUCAGAAAAGAUGCGUGCUUGCCCCCACCCCUGCAGCUGAUACAGAACUGUUUUCCAUGCCCUCCCCAAACUCCUUCCACACAUUCCUUUCAACUUUUCAGAACAUCUUGGUAUCCCAUUCACUGCACCCCUUUGGACAGUUUCCAAAAUGAUAGCUGGACUUCUGCACAGGUAUGAGAACCUGCCCUUCACUGCUACCUCCCUUCCCACCAAGAUUGUUGUGUGUGUUAAUUGGUGCUUAAUAAAAACAAAUCUCUGAAAGA
Molecule: long non-coding RNA, 2686 nt
Organism: Chrysemys picta bellii (western painted turtle)
Lineage: Eukaryota; Metazoa; Chordata; Testudines; Emydidae
Source: RefSeq, a predicted model, not a curated record